Molecule: unclassified non-coding RNA, 977 nt
Filed under: Hevea brasiliensis (rubber tree)
Lineage: Eukaryota; Viridiplantae; Streptophyta; Magnoliopsida; Malpighiales; Euphorbiaceae
Source: RNAcentral
CGGCAGGAAAACUAAAUUAUAUUUCAACCCCAUCAAAUUCUAUGGAGUCCACGAAAUAAAAAAAAAAAAAAAAUCCUAUGGUUAAUCAGUAAUAAUCACAAACAAACCAAAAGAUUCCAGCACUCAAAACAUGCACAAUAGCGGAUCACAUAUAGAUUACACGCUGAGAUCAGAUUUUGAGGAAAUUCAAACUAAAUACUGUUGAGCUUUAGCUUCAAUGAGCAGAGUGAGUAGUGGUAGUCGUCUUCUUAAAAUCGAUCUUGUCAACUUUAACCUCUCCAUCAAUGAGUUCGUACACAUACACUACGACCCGCAAGCCAUCAAUGUCCAUGAGCACAAAGCUAGGAUUUACAUCAUAGGUAAUGCUGCUGUAGGCACCUGUGGCAGACCCUGGGUUUAUAACGACUCCUCCUUCAUGUUUGUAAGCUGUGAACUGAUGUGUAUGACCCGUCACAAGUAUGUCUACAUCCAGUUGUCUCUGGAGCAUUGCUAGUGAGUCUAAGUUCCCCCAUGGAAUAACCUGAUGACCAUGGCAAAGCCCCAACUUGAAUUGACCAAUAGUAAGCGUUUUGGUUUCUGGAUAUCGCAUUUCUUCAUCAUAUUCACCUCGAGUAAUAUGCAAGUCAGGACAAAGAGUCUUCAAAUAGUCGUGAACUUCUUUGAUACAAAGAUUGCCAGUGCAAAUGAUGUGUUGGAUCUUGCCAGGAACAAGCAUUGACUUAAACUUGGCAGGCAGAUCGGCUGCUCUAUGGGGUAUGUGUAAAUCCCCUAAAGCUAACACCAAAACCAUUUCCUAAGCCUCCAAAAAGCAAAUCCCACUUACAAUCUGAUGGAUUUGAUUAGUUUUGCAUAAACCGACGCUAUUAAAGCUCAGAAACAAUCAAACAAAGAGGACGUUAAUGAAUUUUUAGGUCCCUUGCCUCUGCGUUUGAGAGCGUUUCUGUCAAUGAGAACCGAGAAAGUUUGAUUGGUAGCUG